Molecule: long non-coding RNA, 548 nt
Filed under: Heterocephalus glaber (naked mole-rat)
Lineage: Eukaryota; Metazoa; Chordata; Mammalia; Rodentia; Bathyergidae
Description: lncRNA (ENSHGLG00000047212.1)
Source: RNAcentral
UGGUCCGGGAGUCCGAGGCUGCGGGAGUUCGAGGAUUGCUCUGCAGCUGGCGCGCCCUAGGGGGGGCGCUGCGGAAGAUCACUUUCUUUCAGGGUCACGUAUUCCAAUAUUUUGGAAACAUACAAAGAUCCUGGAGCGACAUCAACGUUUCUCUCAAUGGGCAAACAUGGUGCCCAGCCCAGCUGGUGGCAUUUGAACCUAGCAAAACUUCUGGCUGAUUCCCUGCGUCCUGCCCUUUAGCUGCACCCUCAGGUCCCUUCCUUAUCGAGGCCACCUACUCCUGAGGUUGUUCAGCAGUUACCCCAGGCGUGACACUUGCGAGGCCACUCCUUUGGUUACAGUUCUCCUGGGGUCCAUGUUGGUGGUGUCCGACCCAUGCAAGAUCUCAUCAUGGGAAACAGCUUUUACAGCACCGUGUGCGGCUGUGCUGCUGGUCGUAAUGGAUUUGAGAGGACAAGGUCAGUGCUGGAUUCCUGCCACAACUGUCCUCGCUGGUAAGUUCCAGGUUACAUGUGCUAUGACCUUGCUGAGGGUUUGCUCCUUUUUUG